GGAAUCUUCCACAAUGGGCGCAAGCCUGAUGGAGCAACACCGCGUGAGUGAAGAAGGGUUUCGGCUCGUAAAGCUCUGUUGUUAAAGAAGAACACGUAUGAGAGUAACUGUUCAUACGUUGACGGUAUUUAACCAGAAAGUCACGGCUAACUACGUGGCCAG
RNAcentral lists this ribosomal RNA (162 nucleotides) under uncultured bacterium. RNAcentral describes it as "partial 16S rRNA". It matches the Rfam family "Bacterial small subunit ribosomal RNA", at positions 358 to 511 of the family's 1533-position model. The record is from RNAcentral.